This 495-nucleotide small RNA is filed under the name Pan troglodytes (chimpanzee). Its description in RNAcentral is "retained intron". The record is from RNAcentral. Lineage: Eukaryota; Metazoa; Chordata; Mammalia; Primates; Hominidae.
CCAUCCUGAGCUCCAUGGAGAAGCCACCCAGCCUCGGUGACCAGGAGACUCGGCGCAAGGCCCGAGAACAGGCCGCCCGCCUGAAGAAACUACAAGAGCAAGAGAAACAACAGAAAGUGGAGUUUCGUAAAAGGAUGGAGAAGGAGGUGUCAGAUUUCAUUCAAGACAGUGGGCAGAUCAAGAAAAAGUUUCAGCCGAUGAACAAGAUCGAGAGGAGCAUACUGUGAGUGUCCCUGGGCUGGGGGAGGAAGGAAAUGGGUGGCUAGCGGGGCAUGAAAGGGCCAGCAGGGGGCUCCUCCAGAGGAGGGCACUAGGCCCGCUCCUGGCUCAAGAUACUCUUUCCCCUCUGCCAUCCCAUCCCAGACAUGAUGUGGUGGAAGUGGCUGGCCUGACAUCCUUCUCCUUUGGGGAAGAUGAUGACUGUCGCUAUGUCAUGAUCUUCAAAAAGGUAAAGGGCCUGAAUUCCUCAUUCUCUCCUCUCCCCUUUGUAGCCUU